RNAcentral lists this ribosomal RNA (450 nucleotides) under uncultured Glomeromycotina. RNAcentral describes it as "SSU rRNA". It matches the Rfam family "Eukaryotic small subunit ribosomal RNA", at positions 569 to 1023 of the family's 1831-position model. Lineage: Eukaryota; Fungi; Glomeromycota. The record is from RNAcentral.
AGCAGCCGCGGUAAUUCCAGCUCCAAUAGCGUAUAUUAAAGUUGUUGCAGUUAAAAAGCUCGUAGUUGAAUUUCGGGAUCAAUUUAUUGGUCGUGCUAUUGUACGUACUGGUAUUAUUGAUUCCUACCUUCUGACGAACCAUGAUGUCAUUAAUUUGGUGUCAUGGGGAAUCAGGACUGUUACUUUGAAAAAUUAGAGUGUUUAAAGCAGGCUCACGCUUGAAUACAUUAGCAUGGAAUAACGAAAUAGGACGUUUGAUUCUAUUUUGUUGGUUUCUAGGAUCGACGUAAUGAUUAAUAGGGAUAGUUGGGGGCAUUAGUAUUCAAUUGUCAGAGGUGAAAUUCUUGGAUUUUAUUGAAGACUAACUACUGCGAAAGCAUUUUGCCAAGGAUGUUUUCAUUAAUCAAGAACGAAAGUUAGGGGAUCGAAGACGAUCAGAUACCGUCGUAG